RNAcentral lists this ribosomal RNA (253 nucleotides) under uncultured bacterium. RNAcentral's name for it is "partial 16S ribosomal RNA". It matches the Rfam family "Bacterial small subunit ribosomal RNA", at positions 524 to 776 of the family's 1533-position model. The record is from RNAcentral.
UACGUAGGGUGCAAGCGUUGUCCGGAAUUAUUGGGCGUAAUGAGCUCGUAGGCGGCUUGUCGCGUCGGCUGUGAAAACCUGGGGCUCAACCCCGGGCCUGCAGCCGAUACGGGCAAGCUAGAAUUCGGUAGGGGAGACUGGAAUUCCUGGUGUAGCGGUGAAAUGCGCAGAUAUCAGGAGGAACACCGAUGGCGAAGGCAGCCCCCUGGGCUAACACUGACGCUCAUGCACGAAAGCGUGGGGAGCAAACAGG